Molecule: ribosomal RNA, 253 nt
Filed under: uncultured bacterium
Lineage: Bacteria
Description: partial 16S ribosomal RNA
Rfam family: Bacterial small subunit ribosomal RNA
Source: RNAcentral
UACGUAGGGCGCAAGCGUUGUCCGGAAUUAUUGGGCGUAAAGAGCUCGUAGGCGGCCUGUUGCGUCCGCUGUGAAAUCCCGGGGCUCAACCCCGGGCGUGCAGUGGAUACGGGCUGGCUGGAGGCAGGCAGGGGAGAACGGAAUUCCUGGUGUAGCGGUGAAAUGCGCAGAUAUCAGGAGGAACACCGAUGGCGAAGGCAGUUCUCUGGGCCGUAACUGACGCUGAGGAGCGAAAGCGUGGGGAGCGAACAGG